GAUGAACGCUGGCGGCGUGCCUAAUACAUGCAAGUCGAGCGAACAGACGCGGAGCUUGCUCCUCUGACGUUAGCGGCGGACGGGUGAGUAACACGUGUAUCACCUACCUAUAAGACUGGGAUAACUUCGGGACACCGGAGCUAAUACCGGAUAAUAUAUUGAACCGCAUGGUUCAAUAGUGAAAGACGGUUUUGCUGUCACUUAUAGAUGGAUCCGCGCCGCAUUAGCUAGUUGGUAAGGUAACGGCUUACCAAGGCAACGAUGCGUAGCCGACCUGAGAGGGUGAUCGGCGACACUGGAACGGAGACACGGACCAGACUCCUACGGGAGGCAGCAGUAGGGAAUCGUCCGCAAUGGGCGAAAGCCUGACGGAGCAACGCCGCGUGAGUGAUGAAGGUCUUCGGAGCGUAAAACUCUGUUAUGAGGGAAGAACAAAUGUGUAAGUAACUAUGCACGUCUUGACGGUACCUAAUCAGAAAGCCACGGCUAACUACGUG
This 497-nucleotide ribosomal RNA is filed under the name uncultured bacterium. Its description in RNAcentral is "partial 16S ribosomal RNA". It matches the Rfam family "Bacterial small subunit ribosomal RNA", at positions 28 to 507 of the family's 1533-position model. The record is from RNAcentral.